GGAUGUAAAAGCAAUCUGCCUACAAAGUCUGCCACCUGAUUGAUCACCAAGGUUGAUUUUGAUGAUCCAGCUGGGUAGGUGGGUGUCCCCUUUCUCUCUUCCCACCCCAAGUGCAUCCCUCCCAAAGCUUCAUGCUGUUUCAAGCGGACAACUUUCCUCAAUAGAGGAGGACCAUUUUUCAGUCAAAGUUAUAUGAGUAGCUAUGCUCCCCUGCUAGAAUCUUCAAACAAGCUCUCCUCCCUCAAGAAAUGAUCUAUCCUAUUACAAAUCUGUAACCAUCAAGUCUGCAUGGUACUGGCACAAAAAAAGACACAUAGAUCAAUGGAACAGAACAGAGAGCCCAGAAAUGGACCAU
Molecule: unclassified non-coding RNA, 355 nt
Organism: Mustela putorius furo (domestic ferret)
Lineage: Eukaryota; Metazoa; Chordata; Mammalia; Carnivora; Mustelidae
Gene: 7SK
Rfam family: 7SK RNA
About the family: 7SK was discovered as an abundant small nuclear RNA in the mid-70s but a possible function has only recently been suggested. Two independent studies have found that 7SK RNA binds the CDK9/cyclin T complex (known as elongation factor P-TEFb). P-TEFb activates transcription by phosphorylating the C-terminal domain of RNA polymerase II.
Source: Ensembl